GGCCAGACUCCUACGGGAGGCAGCAGUGGGGAAUAUUGGGCAAUGGGCGCAAGCCUGACCCAGCAAUGCCGCGUGAAGGAAGAAGGCUUUCGGGUUGUAAACUUCUUUGACAGGGGAAGAGCAGAAGACGGUACCCUGAAAACAAGCCACGGCUAACUACGUGCCAGCAGCCGCGGUAAUACGUAGGUGGCAAGCGUUGUCCGGAUUUACUGGGUGUAAAGGGGGCGCAGACGGCAAUGCAAGCCAGGAGUGAAAGCCCGGGGCCCAACCCCGGGACUGCUCUUGGAACUGCAUGGCUGGAGUACAGGAGGGGCAGGCGGAAUUCCUAGUGUAGCGGUGAAAUGCGUAGAUAUUAGGAGGAACACCGGUGGCGAAGGCGGCCUGCUGGACUGUGACUGACGUUGAGGCCCGAAGGCGUGGGGAGCAAACAGGAUUAGAUACCCGUGUAA
RNAcentral lists this ribosomal RNA (449 nucleotides) under uncultured bacterium. RNAcentral describes it as "bacterial SSU rRNA". It matches the Rfam family "Bacterial small subunit ribosomal RNA", at positions 329 to 793 of the family's 1533-position model. The record is from RNAcentral.